This 407-nucleotide ribosomal RNA is filed under the name uncultured bacterium. RNAcentral's name for it is "bacterial SSU rRNA". It matches the Rfam family "Bacterial small subunit ribosomal RNA", at positions 343 to 749 of the family's 1533-position model. The record is from RNAcentral.
GGGAGGCAGCAGUGAGGAAUAUUGGUCAAUGGACGAGAGUCUGAACCAGCCAAGUAGCGUGAAGGAUGACUGCCUAUGGGUUGUAAACUUCUUUUAUACGGGAAUAAGUGAGCCACGUGUGGCUUUUUGUAUGUACCGUAUGAAUAAGGAUCGGCUAACUCCGUGCCAGCAGCCGCGGUAAUACGGAGGAUCCGAGCGUUAUCCGGAUUUAUUGGGUUUAAAGGGAGCGUAGGCGGGUUGUUAAGUCAGUUGUGAAAGUUUGCGGCUCAACCGUAAAAUUGCAGUUGAUACUGGCGACCUUGAGUGCAACAGAGGUAGGCGGAAUUCGUGGUGUAGCGGUGAAAUGCUUAGAUAUCACGAAGAACUCCGAUUGCGAAGGCAGCUUACUGGAUUGUAACUGACGCUGA